Long non-coding RNA from Condylostylus longicornis, 1005 nucleotides. RefSeq lists it as uncharacterized. The record is from RefSeq and is a predicted model, not a curated record. The transcript has 3 exons. Lineage: Eukaryota; Metazoa; Arthropoda; Insecta; Diptera; Dolichopodidae.
GUCCAAUAUACAAUAUAAUAAGCUUUUAUCUUUUUUAAAGUGUCGUGCGAAUUUUCAUUAUUUAAUAGAUUGUAAAUCAAAAGACGAUUAAUAAUUUAUAUAUAUAUAUAUAACCGAAUAUAUAGUACGUAAAUAUAAUAAAUAUUUCUUUAAGAAGUGAAAUUAAGAACUCUAUAUAAAAUAUACCAAAUUAUUAUGUGUAUAUAAAACAGAAUUCGGUAUAUAACAUAAAGUAUAUAAUAAUUAUAAUAACAAGUAUAUAUAUUUUUAAAAAUUACCAAAAAAACUUUUAAUAAUAAAAUGGUUAAUUGUAUAAAGAAUGAAAAAAAACUAAUAUAUUAACAAAACUGUUAUAAUAUAAACGUGUAAUUUAUUUAAAAUAUAAUAAUUACGAUAUACAAUAAGAGGAAAACUGAAUAGAAACAGAAACGAAAAAAACAAUAAAAACAAAAAAAUUACAUAUGUUGUUGAUGCAGUAAAUUAUAUAAAAAUUAAAGAAAUAAUAAAAAAUAUAAUAAAAAAAUAUUAACUAAAAAUUGGAAAAGUGUAGUAGAAAAAUUAUUAUAAAAACAAUUUCAUUAUAUAAAAUGUAAAAGGAGUAAAGGACUUUUAUAUGUUAUACUUGAAUAGUUUAAAAACUUUAAUGAUUUUAACAAUUCUAUGAUAACAUUUGUGAAUUAUUAUUAAAGAAAUUGUGUUAAUAAAAUUGUUGCGGAAAGAAUUAAAUAAUUAACAAACAAAAAAAAAAAAGAGUCAGAAAAAAAUUUAUAAAAUAUUUUUAAUAUUUAAUUUUUUUUUUUGGAAGCUUAAUACCACCACCGACGAUACACCGCUAAUAAAUAAUAAUAAUAAUUAAUGAAUUUUAAGAAUACUAUAAUAAUUGAAUAAUUCAAUUAAAAUAGAAAUCAUAAUAUUAUAAUUAAAUAUAAUUUUAAAAAUAAUACUUAACGCUUAUUAAUUAUAUAAAAAAAUAAUAUAAUAAAAAAUUAUAUAUACAUAGUUAAA